RNAcentral lists this ribosomal RNA (548 nucleotides) under uncultured Glomeromycotina. Its description in RNAcentral is "SSU rRNA". It matches the Rfam family "Eukaryotic small subunit ribosomal RNA", at positions 548 to 1097 of the family's 1831-position model. Lineage: Eukaryota; Fungi; Glomeromycota. The record is from RNAcentral.
UUGGAGGGCAAGUCUGGUGCCAGCAGCCGCGGUAAUUCCAGCUCCAAUAGCGUAUAUUAAAGUUGUUGCAGUUAAAAAGCUCGUAGUUGAAUUUCGGGGUCAGUAGGCUGGUCGUGCCUCAGGUACGUACUGGUCUUACUGAUUCCUCCUUCCUGACGAACCGUAAUGCCAUUAAUUUGGUGUUGCGGGGAAUCUGGACUGUUACUUUGAAAAAAUUAGAGUGUUUAAAGCAGGCUAACGCUUGGAUACAUUAGCAUGGAAUAAUGAAAUAGGACGAUCGAUCCUAUUUUGUUGGUUUCUAGGAUUGACGUAAUGAUUAAUAGGGAUAGUUGGGGGCAUUAGUAUUCAAUUGUCAGAGGUGAAAUUCUUGGAUUUAUUGAAGACUAACUACUGCGAAAGCAUUUGCCAAGGAUGUUUUCAUUAAUCAAGAACGAAAGUUAGGGGAUCGAAGACGAUCAGAUACCGUCGUAGUCUUAACCAUAAACUAUGCCGACUAGGGAUCGGAUGAUGUUAAUUUUUUAAUGACUCAUUCGGCGCCUUACGGGAAA